Molecule: unclassified non-coding RNA, 154 nt
Filed under: Alternaria alternata
Lineage: Eukaryota; Fungi; Ascomycota; Dothideomycetes; Pleosporales; Pleosporaceae
Description: sequence contains ITS2
Source: RNAcentral
ACACCCUCAAGCGCUGCUUGGUGUUGGGUGUUUGUCUCGCCUCUGCGUGUAGACUCGCCUCAAAACAAUUGUCAGCCGGCGUAUUGAUUUCGGAGCGCAGUACAUCUCGCGCUUUGCACUCAUAACGACGACGUCCAAAAGUACAUUUUUACAC